GACGAACGCUGGCGGCGUGCCUAAUACAUGCAAGUCGAACGCAGUGGGGACAGGUGAGUAACACGUGGGUAACCUCAAAUCCGAGGGGAAAACACUUGGAAACAGGUGCUAAACCGAUACUGAUGUAUGGACCCGCGGUGCAUUAGCUAGUUGGGGCGGUAACGCCUCACCAAGGCCACGAUGCAUAGACGACCUGAGAGGAUGAUCGGCCAAACUGGGACUGAGACACGGCCCAGACUCCUACGGGAGGCAGCAGUAGGGAAUCUUCGGAAAUGGACGAAAGUCUGACCGAGCAACGCCGCGUGAGUGAAGAAGGGUUUCGGAUCGUAAAACUCUGUUGUUAGAGAAGCGGUAUCUAACCAGAAAGCCACGGCUAACUACGUGCCAGCAGCCGCGGUAAUUC
RNAcentral lists this ribosomal RNA (403 nucleotides) under uncultured bacterium. RNAcentral describes it as "partial 16S ribosomal RNA". It matches the Rfam family "Bacterial small subunit ribosomal RNA", at positions 28 to 526 of the family's 1533-position model. The record is from RNAcentral.